Molecule: ribosomal RNA, 506 nt
Filed under: uncultured bacterium
Lineage: Bacteria
Description: partial 16S ribosomal RNA
Rfam family: Bacterial small subunit ribosomal RNA
Source: RNAcentral
AGUGAACGCUGGCGGUAGGCCUAGCACAUGCAAGUCGAACGGCAGCACAGGAGAGCUUGCUCUCUGGGUGGCGAGUGGCGGACGGGUGAGGAAUACAUCGGAAUCUACUCUGUCGUGGGGGAUAACGUAGGGAAACUUACGCUAAUACCGCAUACGACCUACGGGUGAAAGCAGGGGACCUUCGGGCCUUGCGCGAUUGAAUGAGCCGAUGUCGGAUUAGCUAGUUGGCGGGGUAAAGGCCCACCAAGGCGACGAUCCGUAGCUGGUCUGAGAGGAUGAUCAGCCACACUGGAACUGAGACACGGUCCAGACUCCUACGGGAGGCAGCAGUGGGGAAUAUUGGACAAUGGGCGCAAGCCUGAUCCAGCCAUACCGCGUGGGUGAAGAAGGCCUUCGGAUUGUAAAGCCCUUUUGUUGGGAAAGAAAUCCAGCUGGCUAAUACCCGGUUGGGAUGACGGUACCCAAAGAAUAAGCACCGGCUAACUUCGUGCCAGCCGCCGCAGUAA